UGAGGCGGAGCUAAUCCCUUAAAGCCAUUCUCAGUUCGGAUUGUAGGCUGAAACUCGCCUACAUGAAGCUGGAGUUACUAGUAAUCGCAGAUCAGAAUGCUGCGGUGAAUGCGUUCCCGGGUCUUGUACACACCGCCCGUCACACCACGGAAGUUGGGGGCGCCCGAAGCCACUUAGCUAACCCUUUUGGGAAGCGAGUGUCGAAGGUGAAAUCAAUAACUGGGGUGAAGUCGUAACAAGGUAGC
Molecule: ribosomal RNA, 245 nt
Filed under: uncultured bacterium
Lineage: Bacteria
Description: partial 16S ribosomal RNA
Rfam family: Bacterial small subunit ribosomal RNA
Source: RNAcentral